AUUGAACGCUGGCGGCAUGCCUUACACAUGCAAGUCGAACGGCAGCAUGGGUGCUUGCACCUGAUGGCGAGUGGCGAACGGGUGAGUAAUGCAUCGGAACGUGCCCUGAAGUGGGGGAUAACGUAGCGAAAGUUACGCUAAUACCGCAUAUUCUGUGAGCAGGAAAGAGGGGGAUCGCAAGACCUCCUGCUUUAGGAGCGGCCGAUGUCGGAUUAGCUAGUUGGUGGGGUAAAGGCCUACCAAGGCGACGAUCCGUAGCGGGUCUGAGAGGAUGAUCCGCCACACUGGGACUGGAACACGGCCCAGACUCCUACGGGAGGCAGCAGUGGGGAAUUUUGGACAAUGGGCGCAAGCCUGGUCCAGCCAUGCCGCGUGAGUGAAGAAGGCCUUCGGGUUGUAAAGCUCUUUCGGUGGGGAAGAAAUUGCUUCGGCUAAUAUCCGGAGUAGAUGACGGUACCCGCAUAAGAAGCACCGGCUAACUACGUGCCAGCAGCCGCCGUAA
RNAcentral lists this ribosomal RNA (502 nucleotides) under uncultured bacterium. RNAcentral describes it as "partial 16S ribosomal RNA". It matches the Rfam family "Bacterial small subunit ribosomal RNA", at positions 30 to 523 of the family's 1533-position model. The record is from RNAcentral.